UACGUAGGGGGCAAGCGUUGUCCGGAUUUAUUGGGCGUAAAGAGCGUGUAGGCGGCUUUGCAAGUCCGUUGUGAAAACUCGAGGCUCAACCUCGAGACGCCGGUGGAAACUGCAAAGCUGGAGUACGGUAGGGGCAGAGGGAACUUCCGGUGGAGCGGUGAAAUGCGUAGAGAUCGGAAAGAACACCAACGGCGAAAGCACUCUGCUGGGCCGACACUGACACUGAGAGACGAAAGCUAGGGGAGCGAAUGGG
RNAcentral lists this ribosomal RNA (253 nucleotides) under uncultured bacterium. RNAcentral's name for it is "partial 16S ribosomal RNA". It matches the Rfam family "Bacterial small subunit ribosomal RNA", at positions 524 to 776 of the family's 1533-position model. The record is from RNAcentral.